Molecule: ribosomal RNA, 609 nt
Filed under: uncultured bacterium
Lineage: Bacteria
Description: bacterial SSU rRNA
Rfam family: Bacterial small subunit ribosomal RNA
Source: RNAcentral
UAAAGAUUCAUCGCUGAUAGAUAGGCAUGCGUUCCAUUAGGCAGUUGGCGGGGUAACGGCCCACCAAACCGACGAUGGAUAGGGGUUCUGAGAGGAAGGUCCCCCACAUUGGUACUGAGACACGGACCAAACUCCUACGGGAGGCAGCAGUGAGGAAUAUUGGUCAAUGGGCGUAAGCCUGAACCAGCCAAGUCGCGUGAGGGAUGAAGGUUCUAUGGAUCGUAAACCUCUUUUAUAAGGGAAUAAAGUGUGGGACGUGUCCUGUUUUGUAUGUACCUUAUGAAUAAGGAUCGGCUAACUCCGUGCCAGCAGCCGCGGUAAUACGGAGGAUCCGAGCGUUAUCCGGAUUUAUUGGGUUUAAAGGGUGCGUAGGCGGCCUUUUAAGUCAGCGGUGAAAGUCUGUGGCUCAACCAUAGAAUUGCCGUUGAAACUGGGAGGCUUGAGUAUGUUUGAGGCAGGCGGAAUGCGUGGUGUAGCGGUGAAAUGCUUAGAUAUCACGCAGAACCCCGAUUGCGAAGGCAGCCUGCCAAGCUAUGACUGACGCUGAUGCACGAAAGCGUGGGGAUCAAACAGGAUUAGAUACCCUGGUAGUCCACGCAGUAAACGAUG